Molecule: long non-coding RNA, 1021 nt
Filed under: Scleropages formosus (Asian bonytongue)
Lineage: Eukaryota; Metazoa; Chordata; Actinopteri; Osteoglossiformes; Osteoglossidae
Description: lncRNA (ENSSFOG00015029390.1)
Source: RNAcentral
CUAACACAUGCAUUUGAAGUAGAGGAAAAAAGACGGGGAGGUAGCUGUUUACAAAUAGCUGACCAACAGUUGAACCUGCAGUUGGGAACAACAGGACAAGCAUGAAGAGUAGAGGGCAAGGAAGCGUUGGCCUACAGGGAGCCAUGAAUUCCGUGGUUUCCUGCAUCUCUGCAUGCCUUGACAAAUGGAGAAUGCAUAUGGACGCGGAGCACAUGGAAGGUGACACUGGACUGCGGUCUACAAACAAAGACACUGCUCUGUGUUAUGAGCCCCCACCCUCAUUUUCUCCUUCCUCCAUGUCCUCUGGAACAAUGCAGUACAUGUCUGGAUGUCUUCCAUCAAUCUUAGCGAUGCAUCUGAUGCAGAAUGACAUGACAGCUUCUUGGUUGUCACCACUCUACAACGGUGCAACUCGCCUCUUAGUUAUUGGCUUGGCUUCUUUGAGUCCAACUUUGCGCCAAAGAAAAAGGACAUCUCAUGGGAAUUUGCCUCUUACUUUUCUGUAUGUACAUUCUUCUGUUUAGCUGUACGUGUUUUCAGCCAUUUUGGAACUUCUACAUGUAUAACAGCAAAUCCUGCAUCAGCAGAACACGAGAUGGUGAUGCUGUCACGACCAACGUUGCUUUGGAAAGAUUAAAACCUGACUACUGGAGCCAAAUUUUUAAGUGCAUUUUGAUAAGAUGGUUGUCUCAACGGUCUUGAACCCAUAUCAUCCAGGCCACUGGGGAUGAGUUUAUCGUCACAUCCCCUAUUGGCAGAAAUCCGUCCGUUUCCUUCUACUGACGUUUCAGGUACGCCAAGAAAACAGCAUUUUUUUCACCUCCAUAACAUUGCCCACAUCAGAAUGUGUCUAUCGACCACUGAUGCGAAGAAACGAGUUCAUGUUCUCAUCACGUUGUGUCUUGUUUACUGUAGUUGUCACCUUGGCUACCACCACUACUUCAAGUCUCAUUUGGCAUAUCUUGCCAGUUCAAAGAGUCCAGCUGGAGUUCUUUUGUUCAAGCUUUUGGCUAAGGCUGCG